GUGCCAGCAGCCGCGGUAAUACGAAGGGUGCUAGCGUUGUUCGGAAUUACUGGGCGUAAAGGGCGCGUAGGCGGCUUAACAAGUUGGAUGUGAAAGCCCAGGGCUCAACCCUGGAAUUGCAUUCAAGACUGUUUUGCUUGAAUUCGGUAGAGGUUGGUAGAAUUCCCAGUGUAGAGGUGAAAUUCGUAGAGAUUGGGAAGAAUACCCGUGGCGAAGGCGACCAACUGGACCGACAUUGACGCUGAGGCGCGAAAGCGUGGGGAUCAAACAGGAUUAGAUACCCCGGUAGUCC
Molecule: ribosomal RNA, 292 nt
Filed under: uncultured bacterium
Lineage: Bacteria
Description: partial 16S ribosomal RNA
Rfam family: Bacterial small subunit ribosomal RNA
Source: RNAcentral